RNAcentral lists this small RNA (345 nucleotides) under Histoplasma capsulatum. RNAcentral describes it as "hypothetical RNA". The record is from RNAcentral. RNAcentral also lists the same sequence under 1 other name. Lineage: Eukaryota; Fungi; Ascomycota; Eurotiomycetes; Onygenales; Ajellomycetaceae.
CAAAGCUCCAAUUCUGCUGCAAAACGCGUUGGUGGCCACAAGUCUCAAUCCUCCUCGACCUAUGGGCGGUAUCUAUUUCUGGUCAAGCCUUUAGCUGCAGAUAUUAAAGCCAGACACCCAAACCUGCAAAUUUCGAUCACAAGUAAUAUAGCCAAUAUAUUCGGGUUCAAAAACCACUCCCAAGCUCUGAUAUCUCUCAAGAAUCGGCAAAAAUCCACUGCUUCUCACGUGGAACUCACUUUUCGAGACCAGUUUCUGGUCCGAUCCGAUAUGUGGAGGUUAGCCAUAUCAGAACUCGCAGAUAAGCCUGUCUAUAAGGGACAGAAGAUCACAUUCAUGGGGACC